UAACACCGGUUGAUUGUGGCGCAGGUGUUGCUGAGCCUGAUUAGUUUUAGAGUUGCAGUGGCAGAAAGGGAAAUUGAAAAAGAUAAAUGAAGUUAAGUAAAAGUGUAUUUGCUGCUGGUAAAGCCAUGCAUUUGCCACUGUCCCCUUGAAUGUCAUGGGGUGAAGAACUGUAAGGGCAGAGAGGAAAAAACUUAGAUAAGCAAGAAGAAAUAGAUUGAUCAACUUCUUCCCAAGCUCGUACCAAUAUGGAAGCUUCACCAAGCAGUCAAAUUUUUCUGUGUGAUCUUUGGAAGAGAAACGUAAUAUUGCAAGUUGUGAGUUCAAAACAAUGAUCAAGAUAGAGGUCUUACUAUGUUGCCCAGUCUGGUCUUGAACUUCUGGACUCAAGUGAUCUUCCUGCCUCAGUCUCCCAAACUACUGGGACUACAGGUUCCACUGGGAGGCUACCAUCACAUAAGGACUGCUGAUUGUCCAAAUCCAACUUGUGUGGA
RNAcentral lists this long non-coding RNA (491 nucleotides) under Homo sapiens (human). RNAcentral's name for it is "novel transcript". The record is from RNAcentral. Lineage: Eukaryota; Metazoa; Chordata; Mammalia; Primates; Hominidae.